UUUAGAGAAACUUUUAUGAAGUGCUACUUUGAAGAAGUAGAAAAGGAUUCACCCUCUAGAG
This 61-nucleotide transfer RNA is filed under the name Microthoracius praelongiceps. Its description in RNAcentral is "tRNA-Phe". Lineage: Eukaryota; Metazoa; Arthropoda; Insecta; Psocodea; Microthoraciidae. The record is from RNAcentral.